UAUUAAGCAUUGCACCAAAAAUAAAAGACUUAUUAUAGAAAAAAGGGAAAAUAAAAAUCUAAGCAGAUUGAAUAUAUAAAUGGAAAAGAAAAGGAUAAGCCACAUGCACAAAAUAACUGGUUUAGAGACUAAAAGGUAAUUCAAAAAAAUUGACAACAUCACCCACACGAAAACAAGGUGGCUUCUAGGGUGAGGGCUCAACUAAGUCCAUCACCGGUGUUGCAGUAAAAUUUUACAGUUAGAUUUACUCAAUCCGCCAGAUUUGAUGAAAAAAAGAGAGAAUAUAUAAACAUUUUUACACACAAUUUUGCCCCUUUUUCCUAUCUAUUUGACGGUUGCAUCUCUGUAAUGUUUCACUGGUGAAAUUUCACAAGUACAGUUACAACUGCUUUGAAAAAAGAAAACACCAAGGAUAAAGAUAGAACGAUGGAUAACGUUGAAGUUAGAAAAGAGUAUAAA
This 459-nucleotide long non-coding RNA is filed under the name Trifolium pratense (red clover). RNAcentral describes it as "long non-coding RNA (TPRA_LNC011167)". Lineage: Eukaryota; Viridiplantae; Streptophyta; Magnoliopsida; Fabales; Fabaceae. The record is from RNAcentral.